UACGAGGGGGGCGAGCGUUGUUCGGAAUUAUUGGGCGUAAAGGGUGCGUAGGCGGUUUGGUAAGUCUGAUGUGAAAUCUAUGGGCUCAACUCAUAGUCUGCAUCGGAAACUGCCGGGCUUGAGUGUGGGAGAGGUGAGUGGAAUUCCAGGUGUAGCGGUGAAAUGCGUAGAUAUCUGGAGGAACACCGGUGGCGAAGGCGGCAUCCUGGACCAACACUGACACUGAUGAGCGAAAGCCAGGGGAGCAAACGGG
RNAcentral lists this ribosomal RNA (253 nucleotides) under uncultured bacterium. RNAcentral describes it as "partial 16S ribosomal RNA". It matches the Rfam family "Bacterial small subunit ribosomal RNA", at positions 524 to 776 of the family's 1533-position model. The record is from RNAcentral.